GACAGAGGGUGCAAACGUUGUUCGGAAUUACUGGGCGUAAAGCGUGUGUAGGCGGCCAAGAAAGUCGGAUGUGAAAGCCCGAGGCUCAACCUCGGAACUGCCUUCGAUACUGCGGGUCUCGAGUCCGGGAGAGGUGAGUGGAAUUCCUAGUGUAGAGGUGAAAUUCGUAGAUAUUAGGAAGAACACCAGUGGCGAAGGCGGCUCACUGGCUCGGUACUGACGCUGAGGCGCGAAAGCGUGGGGAGCAAACAGG
Molecule: ribosomal RNA, 253 nt
Filed under: uncultured bacterium
Lineage: Bacteria
Description: partial 16S ribosomal RNA
Rfam family: Bacterial small subunit ribosomal RNA
Source: RNAcentral